UUUCCGUAGGUGAACCUGCGGAAGGAUCAUUAUUGUAUAACCGAGGUGCGAGGGCUGUCGCUGACCCGAAAGGUCGUGCACGCCCGUGUGCCCUCACACACAUCCAUCUCACCCCCAUGUGCACCACCGCGUGGGUCCCCCUUUGGCUUGUUCGGAGGGGGGCUUACGUUUUCACACAAACUUUGUAUGCAGUGUAGAAUGUAUUUUUUGUUUUUGCGAUCACGCAAUCAAUACAACUUUCAACAACGGAUCUCUUGGCUCUC
RNAcentral lists this unclassified non-coding RNA (263 nucleotides) under plant metagenome. RNAcentral's name for it is "partial contains small subunit ribosomal RNA, internal transcribed spacer 1, and 5.8S ribosomal RNA". The record is from RNAcentral.